AAGUCGUAACAAGGUUUCCGUAGGUGAACCUGCGGAAGGAUCAUUAUUGAAUAAUCUUGAUGGAUUGUUGCUGGCUCUUCAAAGGAGCAAGUGCACAUCUGUCAUUUUUAUCUUUCCACCAUGUGCACUAUGCAUAGACUUGACAUUUCUGUGAUCAAACUUUGUUUUUGAUUUUUGGAGAUUGCUGUUUGUGAUAACAGCUUUUUCUGUGUUCAAGUUCUAUGAAUUUAUAUAUACGCCUAUGCAUGUCAAAGAAUGUUAUAAAGGGUUUUUAAAAUCCUAUAAAGUUAAAUACAACUUUCAGCAACGGAUCUCUUGGCUCUC
This 324-nucleotide unclassified non-coding RNA is filed under the name fungal sp. RNAcentral describes it as "partial internal transcribed spacer region". The stretch from base 1 to 46 matches the Rfam family "Eukaryotic small subunit ribosomal RNA", at positions 1786 to 1831 of the family's 1831-position model. Lineage: Eukaryota; Fungi. The record is from RNAcentral.